RNAcentral lists this ribosomal RNA (462 nucleotides) under Triticum aestivum (bread wheat). RNAcentral describes it as "partial small subunit ribosomal RNA". The record is from RNAcentral. Lineage: Eukaryota; Viridiplantae; Streptophyta; Magnoliopsida; Poales; Poaceae.
AUAGGGACCAUGGUCUCAAAGGCGCAUAACAACCGUGCGGAGUACGACAAGUCUUUGCAUGAAGCGCGCUGGGAGAUCGACUUGAAGGUGCAAAAGGAUCGCGAUGACGUAGAUAAGAAACUCAAAAAAGAGCGUUCAUAUGUGGACAGGAUGAUAAAGGAGGAGCGUGAGGAGUUUCCCCGUAAGAUGGCGAAGAUGCGUCUUGAGAUUGAAGAAAAGUAUAAGCGGGACUGUAAUGACAUGGAAAAAAAGUUUUUCCUUGGCUACAAGGAAAUGCAUCAAACGUUGCAAAAGGACCGGAAGCUUGUGGACAGUAAGCUGCUACAGGAGCGGUCGGACAUGGACAGUAAGCUGCUACAGGAGCGGUCAGACAUGGAUUAUAAGGCCAUGCUGGAGAAGGUCCACUUGGAAGGACAUAUGUUAGAAGACCGUGCGAUCUCACGGCCACCCCGACAACAUGCU